RNAcentral lists this ribosomal RNA (497 nucleotides) under uncultured bacterium. Its description in RNAcentral is "partial 16S ribosomal RNA". It matches the Rfam family "Bacterial small subunit ribosomal RNA", at positions 28 to 507 of the family's 1533-position model. The record is from RNAcentral.
GAUGAACGCUGGCGGCGUGCCUAAUACAUGCAAGUCGUGCGAACAGACGAGGAGCUUGCUCCUCUGACGUUAGCGGCGGACGGGUGAGUAACACGUGGAUAACCUACCUAUAAGACUGGGAUAACUUCGGGAAACCGGAGCUAAUACCGGAUAAUAUAUUUAACCGCAUGGUUCAAUAGUGAAAGACGGUUUUGCUGUCACUUAUAGAUGUAUCCGCGCCGCAUUAGCUAGUUGGUAAGGUAACGGCUUACCAAGGCAACGAUGCGUAGCCGACCUGAGAGGGUGAUCGGCCACACUGGAACUGAGACACGGCCCAGACUCCUACGGGAGGCAGCAGUAGGGAAUCUUCGGCAAUGGGCGAAAGCCUGACGGAGCAACGCCGCGUGAGUGAUGAAGGUCUUCGGAUCGUAAAACUCUGUUAUUAGGGAAGAACAAAUGUGUAAGUAACUAUGCACGUCUUGACGGUACCUAAUCAGAAAGCCACGGCUAACUACGUG